UAUUUUAGUAAAAUUAUCGAAUAUACAAACAACUUGUUACUCUAAAUACGAUUACAAUUAUACUGGCACAGCUUAUUCGACAAGAAAAUGCUAAGCAUCACAGAUUUACAAUUAAAACUUGAAAAAUGUGUAUCUUAUUACGACAACAUGCUCAGCCAAAAUUGUGCGGUUAGAAAAUCCACAACCUAUUACGUGUAACCUGUUUAAGACUUCAUUCUUACUGAAAAGAUAAGGUAGACACUUAAUUGCAGAGACGAGUAUAAAUCUAAACAAAAUUCCGAAGGGUGUAGAUUCUCCUUCUCAAACACAAAUGACGAACAACAUUUCCACGCAUUAAUUGUUUGAUUAAUGUGCAUCGACAUAAUUAUUAAUGACAUACCAGGUUAAAACCAGAUAGAGUGAAAGUGUUAAUCCUAAAACGACUGAAAAUCUAUUACAUCAAGUUAGUUUCUGAAUACGUAUG
Belonocnema kinseyi is the source of this 463-nucleotide long non-coding RNA. RefSeq lists it as uncharacterized. Lineage: Eukaryota; Metazoa; Arthropoda; Insecta; Hymenoptera; Cynipidae. The record is from RefSeq and is a predicted model, not a curated record. The transcript is spliced from 3 exons.